RNAcentral lists this ribosomal RNA (329 nucleotides) under uncultured eukaryote. RNAcentral describes it as "partial 18S ribosomal RNA". It matches the Rfam family "Eukaryotic small subunit ribosomal RNA", at positions 1470 to 1796 of the family's 1831-position model. The record is from RNAcentral.
CCCUUAGAUGUUCUGGGCCGCACGCGCGCUACACUGACAGGGCCAACGAGUUCAUCACCUUGGCCGGAAGGUCUGGGUAAUCUUGUUAAACCCUGUCGUGCUGGGGAUAGAGCAUUGCAAUUAUUGCUCUUCAACGAGGAAUGCCUAGUAAGCGCAUGUCAUCAGCAUGCGUUGAUUACGUCCCUGCCCUUUGUACACACCGCCCGUCGCUACUACCGAUUGAAUGGCUCAGUGAGGCCUUCGGACUGGCCCAGGGAGGUCGGCAACGACCACCCAGGGCCGGAAAGUUGGUCAAACUCGGUCAUUUAGAGGAAGUAAAAGUCGUAACA